CAAUGUAUUAACAUAUUUAUGGAUUUCAGAAAAUAUAUUUUAAAUAUAAAAAAAAAACACAAAAAAAAAUUACAUUUGAGCAUACAUUUUUUAAUCACAAAGUCACAUCUGAAAAAGGGCAGUCAAAACCAACGAAACAAAUCGAUAAGUAGAACAAAAAGAGAACACCAUUGGCCCGGUAUCAAAAGUAGGAAAAUACAAAAAUUAACCCCCCCCCUUUUUUCCCCGAAAAUAACAUAUUACAGAGGCAC
This 251-nucleotide long non-coding RNA is filed under the name Mytilus galloprovincialis (Mediterranean mussel). Lineage: Eukaryota; Metazoa; Mollusca; Bivalvia; Mytilida; Mytilidae. The record is from RNAcentral.